Long non-coding RNA from Astatotilapia calliptera (eastern happy), 3687 nucleotides. NCBI's taxonomy places the organism in Eukaryota, Metazoa, Chordata, Actinopteri, Cichliformes, Cichlidae. The record is from Ensembl.
AAAGCGAAUGUGCAAGUUUUGUGUUUUGCACUUCACUCGACAUUUAGCUCAAAGUGUGUGUGAUCCAAGCUGCACUGAAUCACUGAAUACAAAAGGGAUGGAUUCAGAGCUGGCGACUGCUGAAGUUCAAAUGUUAAGACAAAGGAAGACGUGUAACCUAAAAGCCCAGAUCAACUCGACACCUUCACACCUGUCAAAGAGCACAAGUGUGACACUUUAACAGGUACAGACACUUCAUACUGAGCUUUCUUUACAAAAGUGCUCCUUGCAAAACAGCUCUUUACAGCAGGAGAGACAUCCUGACAGACCGAGUGUGGUUCAGGGCCCUGACAGGAAAGCACAAACAUCUCAUGCUAACCCGUGCAGCAGUUUGGAGGACAAAGCACCUCUGUCAGCCUCACAGCAGAUGUCUACAAUAGGUUUCUGUGCUUGGCACAGCCAAAGGACAAACAAUUACAUUUGGGGUUGUUGGUUGGGAUUGGGGAAAGGUAGACGUAUGUAUCUGCAUGUUUUCCAUGUGUUGUAAAUGCAUAAAAAACAAACAUCCUCACAUGUAUGAAUUCUAUAGAGUCAUUAUCAUUUGACAUCAUAAUUAUUCACCACAUGUGUCCAGAGCCUGUGAUUACUCUUGCAGAACACUAGUGCUAGUACUCCCAACGAGUAACAUGCUAAACCACAGCAUGGAGAAUGAGAUCCUGCAAUAGACCUCAAUUGCUAAAAACAUGCAUGUGUGCUUUUUAAAAUAUGUUAUUGAAUUAUUCAUAGUGCUAUUUUUAAAAAGGAUGCCAAACUUAAGUUGCUGUGUGCCCCUAUGUUUAAAAAAAGUCUGUAUCCAAAGUAUAUUUUAUUCUUUUUCUCCAUUCAGAUACUGUGAGAAUCUGCAUGGAGAAAGAGAAGACAAGGAAUCACAUAAAGAAUUCACAGCCCCGGUGCUUCCCAUUUUGCCUGUAAGUGAGCCUUGUCUAGAACUUCUCCAACUUCACCUUUCAGCCAGAAGUUCAGCUUUCUUGGCCUGCUACAACUCUCUCGUCAGUGAACCUGCUCUGCCAACCGCCUGCCAGUCUGCCUUUCACCUGCCACGUACUUUCCCGGAUGAGCCACGCACCCCUGGGAAACUUCAGUGCAGCUCACCAUCACUCGCUUCAAAGUGUAAACAAAGCUAUUUCUGUUAUCAGCUUUGGUCUGAGUACUGCCUUUUGUUUUGUUUUGUGUGGCAUGUACAUUUUAUAUGCAUAAAAUCUUGACACCUAUAAUGACUAUUUUGGCUUGUUAGGCCCCUGUGGUUGUGUCUCAAACCCUCUGCAGUGUUAGAUUUUGACUGCUUUGUGCACUUGUUCACGUGAAUGCUUUUACUAAGUAAGACUGGUAAGACUGAUUAUGCUCUCUUUGCAUUUAACCUCCUAGGACCUGGCAUCUACAUAUGUGGACAUCACAUUUUGGGUUGUCUGGACCAAAAUACUAAAUUUUGCUCUACAAGGGCCUGAUAUCCACUUACUAGGACAUUAUACUACCACUGUUCUAUCCAAAUUUAAAACGAAUGUCCUCACAUGUGGAUCUCAUUUUUCUCAGAAACAAAAAUAAGGUAAAAAAAAAUCUGGCAAUUCUUUUUUUUUACAUUCAUCAGGUCCCAAUCAGCCCGAAUAACAAAGAAAAAUUAAAAAUGCAUGCCAUGAAAGAGUUUGGGUCUUAGGAGGUUAAUACUGUGUCACAUGUUUUUAAAGUUUUAGCAGUUGAGUUGUACAUGAAGCUUAAGAACUUGAUUUACUCACGUGCAGCACCGCUGGAACCUCUGUUCACACUGCAUUAAAAUCAUACAUAUGAAAAUGUAUAUUUCAAACUGAAAUGUUUUAUCUUUAUGUAAUUUUAAAUGCUGCUUGCUUAAUUUCUUUGCUGUUGUUAGAAUUGUAUUCAGCCCAUUUAAUCUUUGAUUUAUGCACUCAUGUACACACCAAUCACUGAAUCUUUUUCUAAAUUAUUAUUUUUACUGUCCUAAGUUUCAAGUUGUGGCAAAUCUUCUACCCACCCAGUGGCAUGGAGUUGUUUCCAGUAGUAUCAAUAAUAACUAGGUGAAAAUUUAUACACAGGGUUAGGACAAGGACCUAAGUUUAGCUUUAAUUAGUUGGUUGGUAUCAGGUACGUAGCCAGCUGGCUACUAAUGAAUGCUAUUCAUGCAGAUAUAGAGCAGAGAUACAAUUAUGUGGCAUAAAUGGCAAAACCCCACUUUUACAAAAGAUGUCCAAAAGUCAAGGUUUAGCUUGAAAAAAAAAAACCCCUCAAAAACCUCUCAAAAAAACAAACAACCCCCCCCCCCCCCCAAAAAAACCCCCCAAAAAACAAAAUUACUUGGCUAAUAAUCUAAAGAGUCUGAAACAGUAUCCAGUCAGCCAAUGAUAAAAGAAAGUAACACUGAAUGAAGUAACAUAAUUUCCAUGAAAAAAAAGUAGAAUUAAGUAUACACAUGUUCAGUGUCAUAAUUAUCAUGGCAAACAGGCUACAGUCGUGCUGUUUUGUGUUUUUGUGGAUAGUAGAAAUUCAUGGAUUUGAGGUCAGAGCAACCAAACUGGGAGCCCUUGUAGAUGAUGCGCUCUGCCCCGCUGUCGCUCAGAGUUUUGAGAAAAUAUUUAUUUCCCUUUUAUUAAUGAAUGUUUUUACAGUGGUUUACAGGUAUUCUCUGUUGUUCUGGAACAUUUUUUUUUGUUUUAUUACACUUUUUAAGUUAUCAGCUGAUACAUUUCUUAGAACAGCUCAAACAUACAGAACAACCUAGGCAAACAAAAUAAAAAUAAAAAACAGGCAGGACCUUUACAUUAUUUGUCAAAAAAGAUGUUUUACAUAAAAAAAUAUAGUAAUUUCCAUCAAAAUGACAAACUUCUUUGACACUGUACAAAUCUGGACAUGUCGCUGUUUAGAUGUUUGACAGAAUGACAGCAGUUUCUGAGAUUUUGUUUCUAAUCUUCUAAUUUCCUGAAAAUGUCUCAUCUUUUAAGUGACCUAAUUGCUUUUGCAGACAGUGAAUGCUUCCACUAUUAGUGUUGCUUGACUCCUGUUAUGUAUUGAAGAAUAUUUAUCACAAUCUGAAGAUGCUGAAUUGUUUUGCAUUGUUCUUUAAAAUGAGAAAGAGCUGUUGUUAUAUUUGCACAUAUUGUGAGUGGGAUAAACAUUUUUCCUGCAGCGAUUACACAACACAGUCAGCUACUUAGAGGAAUAUCAGUUGAAAACAGAUUGUCAUCAGUAUCGCACCUCGUGCUCUCCCCUGUAGUGUUACGGGAAGAACCAAGCGGAUCCAGCAACUAUAUUUAACUGCUAUCAGAGCAGACUCCUCCAUGUUCACAGUUUGUUUUAACUGUGUUGUGCUCAAGUUCUAUGAAUACUACGACAAAAUGUUACAACCAGUCAUAUCACUGACUUACACCUGUGUCCUUGGCAGAUUUUGACAGUUAUGUGGUUGUUUCUGCAUGCAAUCAUCUACACAGCGAAAUAAUGAAAGGAUCUUUCAUGGUGUAAAACUAUUUUUAGCUGAUAGAAACAUUAAAUUGAACAUUUGUUUAAAUUAUAGACAGUGUUGCGUCAUAGUUUACCUAAAUGCACUAAAACAAUUGUAAUGCUAACAAAAAUGAGGACUCCUCUUAUGAUAAAUGCAUCGCCUGCAGAAUGAGAGAAUGCGCCUGUGCUCCUCUUAGCUAUGUC